Long non-coding RNA from Selaginella moellendorffii, 322 nucleotides. RefSeq lists it as uncharacterized. The transcript is spliced from 2 exons. NCBI's taxonomy places the organism in Eukaryota, Viridiplantae, Streptophyta, Lycopodiopsida, Selaginellales, Selaginellaceae. The record is from RefSeq and is a predicted model, not a curated record.
UCCACCAAAACUGCUGGCUACGUGAAGGAGAAUGUGAUCUUCAUGAUCACCGACGAGCUCGAGGUGUACCCGACUUCGACCAUCAAGAGCAUCGUCCUGCUCAACAAGCUCAAGGUGAAAGCUAUGGCCGAUCUCGAGAGCAUCGAGGUCAGCGUUGGCGCUCACGAGGCCUUGUCUCUGCUCAAGGCGUCGCUGGUUUCAAAGACUGUGCUCAACGACGUCUUCAAAUCCUACGUCUCGCGGCGAUCCUUUUAGAUCAAUCAUGUCUUCUCUUUCGUGAAUUUAAUCUAUAGUUGCUACGACGUUUGUGGAGCUUUCUUUA